Molecule: transfer-messenger RNA, 364 nt
Filed under: Thermoguttaceae bacterium
Lineage: Bacteria; Pseudomonadati; Planctomycetota; Planctomycetia; Pirellulales; Thermoguttaceae
Rfam family: transfer-messenger RNA
About the family: Bacterial tmRNA, also known as 10Sa RNA or SsrA, is named for its dual tRNA and mRNA-like properties. Its role is to liberate the mRNA from a stalled ribosome. To accomplish this part of the tmRNA is used as a reading frame that ends in a translation stop signal.
Source: RNAcentral
GGGGGCGAACCGGAUUCGACCGGGCAUGUGAAGUGACGGGCUGCGUGUCGUGGUUGGUCAGCGGGCCACGUUAAAAGCCGACUAUAAAAUUAAUUGCCAACGAAAGUAUGGCUAUGGCUGCCUAAGAAAAGGCAACCCCGAUUACGAGUCUUCGCCGAAGAGAUGAGCUAAUCGGACGUCAAUUUCGGAUCGUCUUUCGUCACGCCGAACACGCGAAAGAUUAAAUUCUGUUUUCGGACCGCCUGAGGAAGACCGCCGCCGGGUUCGGGCUUCGACAGGUUAAACUCAAACAGGCCGGAUACACACGUAGACGCUCCCAUGGAGCUGUCACGGGACGCGGGUUCGAUUCCCGCCGCCUCCAUCC